UGACCUCAAAUCAGGUAGGACUACCCGCUGAACUUAAGCAUAUCAAUAAGCGGAGGAAAAGAAACUAACAAGGAUUCCCCUAGUAACUGCGAGUGAAGCGGGAAAAGCUCAAAUUUAAAAUCUGGCGGUCUUAUGGCUGUCCGAGUUGUAAUCUAGAGAAGUGUUAUCCGCGCUGGACCGUGUACAAGUCUCCUGGAAUGGAGCAUCAUAGAGGGUGAGAAUCCCGUCUUUGACAUGGACUGCCAGGGCUUUGUGAUGCGCUCUCAAAGAGUCGAGUUGUUUGGGAAUGCAGCUCAAAAUGGGUGGUAAAUUCCAUCUAAAGCUAAAUAUUGGCGAGAGACCGAUAGCGAACAAGUACCGUGAGGGAAAGAUGAAAAGAACUUUGGAAAGAGAGUUAAACAGUACGUGAAAUUGCUGAAAGGGAAACGCUUGAAGUCAGUCAUGUCAUCCAGGGAUCAACCUUGCUUUUGCUUGGUGCACUUUCUGGUUUGACGGGUCAGCAUCAAUUUUGACCAUUGGAAAAAGGUUGAGGGAAUGUGGCAUCUUUGGAUGUGUUAUAGCCCUUGGUCGUAUACAAUGGUUGGUAUUGAGGAACUCAGCACGCCGCAAGGCCGGGUUUUAACCACGUACGUGCUUAGGA
RNAcentral lists this ribosomal RNA (640 nucleotides) under Cortinarius cf. solis-occasus/laniger F16335. RNAcentral describes it as "eukaryotic LSU rRNA". It matches the Rfam family "Eukaryotic large subunit ribosomal RNA", at positions 1 to 618 of the family's 3401-position model. Lineage: Eukaryota; Fungi; Basidiomycota; Agaricomycetes; Agaricales; Cortinariaceae. The record is from RNAcentral.